This 219-nucleotide ribosomal RNA is filed under the name uncultured bacterium. RNAcentral's name for it is "partial 16S ribosomal RNA". It matches the Rfam family "Bacterial small subunit ribosomal RNA", at positions 1282 to 1500 of the family's 1533-position model. The record is from RNAcentral.
ACAGUCUCAGUUCGGAUUGAAGGCUGAAAUUCGCCUUCAUGAAGCCGGAAUUGCUAGUAAUGGCGGAUCAGCAUGCCGCGGUGAAUACGUUCCCGGGCCUUGUACACACCGCCCGUCACACCAUGAGAGUCGGGAACACCCGAAGUCCGUAGUCUAACCGCAAGGGGGACGCGGCCGAAGGUGGGUUCGAUAAUUGGGGUGAAGUCGUAACAAGGUAUC